This 810-nucleotide long non-coding RNA is filed under the name Pan troglodytes (chimpanzee). RNAcentral's name for it is "lincRNA". The record is from RNAcentral. Lineage: Eukaryota; Metazoa; Chordata; Mammalia; Primates; Hominidae.
CGUGCAGGUCCGUUACAUAGGUAUACAUGUGCCAUGGUGGUUUGCUGAACCCAUCAACCCAUCAUCUUCAAAGAUAAGGCCUUCAGUAUAUCAAGAUCAGUGGAUCAAAGAAACAUCCUCAAGAAACUAAGAAACAACACAAGAUUCUCUCUGAUGAAAUGCUUAAGUAUAAGGAAAAUGACGGAAGACACAGAAGAGCAGCAGAAGUGGGUAGAAGACUACUACAGAUGCCAGAGCGCCACUUCUGAAAGAAAGGCUCACGACAACUGGGUAAGUUUUUUUUUUUUCUUUCCUUGCUUUUGGACAUAAUCUGCCAGGUCAGGACGUGGAUGUAUUUUUCUCCCCCACAGCUCUGUGUUUAAGCCUCGCAGAGGGAGAUGCAAGAGAAGAAGGCUGCCUACAAGCAGCACAGGAAAUGAUUGAAAAACAGAGAGUGCUGGAGAGACACAUUAGUCAGGAGCCAGCUAGUGGACAACCAGGCAUAGAGAAUCAUCCCCAAAGAGGUCAAUAUGGCUUUGGGAGGGCCCCUUUUUCAGGAUUGCCCUACUUGCUCUACUGCAUGGCUGGCUCUUCAGGACCAUUUGUGGGCUGCCAGACACCUCCUCUGCCUGGGUGGCCUCUGGGAACACGACCACUGCCUCCAUGCACACCACUUGGACAAGCUGAAAUUUGAAGAGGCCCCUGAGCUCUGACAGCCAUGCUGUGGCUCCUACAUAACUUGGAAAAGUAUCCAAUACAUUUUACGCUGCCUGCCCAGUGCUGCCUCAUCUGUCUCUAAUCUUCUGUAGUGUUUCCCCUAAUAAAGGUUUG